AUCAUUACCGAGUUCUCGGGCUUCGGCUCGAAUCUCCCACCCUUUGUGAACGUACCUCUGUUGCUUUGGCGGCUCUUUGCCGCGAGGAGGCCCUCGCGGGCCCCCCCGCGCGCUUUCCGCCAGAGGACCUUCAAACUCCAGUCAGUAAACGUCGACGUCUGAUAAACAAGUUAAUAAACUAAAACUUUCAACAACGGAUCUCUUGGUUCUGGCAUCGAUGAAGAACGCAGCGAAAUGCGAUAAGUAAUGUGAAUUGCAGAAUUCAGUGAAUCAUCGAAUCUUUGAACGCACAUUGCGCCCCCUGGCAUUCCGGGGGGCAUGCCUGUUCGAGCGUCAUUACAACCCUCAAGCUCUGCUUGGUAUUGGGCGCCGUCCUCUCUGCGGACGCGCCUUAAAGACCUCGGCGGUGGCUGUUCAGCCCUCAAGCGUAGUAGAAUACACCUCGCUUUGGAGCGGUUGGCGUCGCCCGCCGGACGAACCUUCUGAACUUUUCUCAAGGUUGACCUCGGAUCAGGUAGGGAUACCCGCUGAACUUAAGCAUAUCAAUA
RNAcentral lists this ribosomal RNA (548 nucleotides) under Diplodia seriata. Its description in RNAcentral is "eukaryotic LSU rRNA". The stretch from base 183 to 336 matches the Rfam family "5.8S ribosomal RNA". Lineage: Eukaryota; Fungi; Ascomycota; Dothideomycetes; Botryosphaeriales; Botryosphaeriaceae. The record is from RNAcentral.